UAGCUAAUACCGGAUAACAACAGAUGAUGCCUAUCAACUGUUUUAAAAGAAUGGUUCUGCUAUCACUCUUGGAUGGACCUGCGGUGCAUUAGCUAGUUGGUAGGGUAACGGGCCUACCAAGGCGAUGAUGCAUAGCCGAGUUGAGAGACUGAUCGGCCACAUUGGGACUGAGACACGGCCCAAACUCCUACGGGAGGCAGCAGUU
This 205-nucleotide ribosomal RNA is filed under the name uncultured Lactobacillus sp. RNAcentral describes it as "partial 16S ribosomal RNA". It matches the Rfam family "Bacterial small subunit ribosomal RNA", at positions 160 to 355 of the family's 1533-position model. Lineage: Bacteria; Bacillati; Bacillota; Bacilli; Lactobacillales; Lactobacillaceae. The record is from RNAcentral.